GAUCCUGGCUUAGGAUGAACGCUAGCUACAGGCUUAACACAUGCAAGUCGAGGGGCAGCAUUGGAGUAGCAAUACUCAGAUGGCGACCGGCGCACGGGUGAGUAACACGUAUCCAACCUGCCGCUUACUCGGGGAUAGCCUUUCGAAAGAAAGAUUAAUACCCGAUGGUAUAAAGAGUUCGCAUGUUCUCUUUAUUAAAGAAUUUCGGUAAGCGAUGGGGAUGCGUUCCAUUAGAUAGUUGGCGGGGUAACGGCCCACCAAGUCUACGAUGGAUGGGGGUUCUGAGAGGAAGGUCCCCCACAUUGGAACUGAGACACGGUCCAAACUCCUACGGGAGGCAGCAGUGAGGAAUAUUGGUCAAUGGACGAGAGUCUGAACCAGCCAAAAGUAGCGUGAAGGAUGACUGCCCUAUGGGUUGUAAACUUCUUUUAUAAGGGAAUAAAGUGAGGGACGUGUCCCUUUUUGUAUGUACCUUAUGAAUAAGGAUCGGCUAACUCCGUGCCAGCCGCCGC
Molecule: ribosomal RNA, 512 nt
Filed under: uncultured bacterium
Lineage: Bacteria
Description: bacterial SSU rRNA
Rfam family: Bacterial small subunit ribosomal RNA
Source: RNAcentral